AAUGGACGAACGGCCAACCGCGUCGCGCUUGAGAAUGGACGGGAGCCAAUCAGAGCGCGAGCUGUCCAUUGUUGGGGAGCCAAUCAGAGCGCGAGCUGUCCAUUGUUGGGGAGCCAAUCCGGUCGCUCGCUAUCCAUUGUGUUGGGAGCAGACUUUACGCAGUCCUGAGGAAAAUUGACAGAUUUCAAUAUCGACAGAAGAAAAUUGCAUAAUUCGACAAAAUGAGUACCAAGCCAAAGACCCACAAGGCCAUGGGUGAUGUCGAGUGGAUGAACAGGUUGAGGGCUUUUGCAAGCUCUGGUGCAUGGCCUUCUGGAGGCAACAGACCAGCACCACGGCAGCGGACGUGGUAUGACCUCUACCAGAAGAUCACAAAGAAGCUGGCCGGCCAUGGACAGGGGACAGCACUCUGGGUAACCCUUAUUGGAAAUGAGGUUGACCAGAUAGUGCCCAACCAAUACAAGGGCAUUAUAUACUGCCCCUCUGUAGAGACACUACCAAAG
Molecule: long non-coding RNA, 503 nt
Organism: Puntigrus tetrazona (Sumatra barb)
Lineage: Eukaryota; Metazoa; Chordata; Actinopteri; Cypriniformes; Cyprinidae
Exons: 3
Source: RefSeq, a predicted model, not a curated record